This 481-nucleotide ribosomal RNA is filed under the name uncultured bacterium. Its description in RNAcentral is "partial 16S ribosomal RNA". It matches the Rfam family "Bacterial small subunit ribosomal RNA", at positions 28 to 507 of the family's 1533-position model. The record is from RNAcentral.
AUUGAACGCUGGCGGCAGGCCUAACACAUGCAAGUCGAGCGGAUGAAGGGAGCUUGCUCCUGGAUUCAGCGGCGGACGGGUGAGUAAUGCCUAGGAAUCUGCCUGGUAGCGGGGGAUAACGUCCGGAAACGGGCGCUAAUACCGCAUACGUCCUGAGGGAGAAAGUGGGGGAUCUUCGGACCUCACGCGAUCAGAUGAGCCUAGGUCGGAUCAGCGUGUUGGAGGGGUAAUGGCCUACCAAGGCGGCGUUCCGUAGCCGGUCUGAGAGGGUGGUCGGUCACACUGGGAAGGAGACACGGCCCGUACUCCUACGGGAGGCAGCAGUGGGGAAUAUUGCACAAUGGGCGUAAGCCUGAUGCAGCGACGCCGCGGGAGGGAUGGAGGCUUUCGGGUUGUGAACCUCUUUCGCCAGGGAAGCAGGCCUGCCUCGUUUGUGGGUGGGUUGACGGUAGCUGGAUAAGAAGCGCCGGCUAACUACGUG